AGAAGUUUUCCAUAUUUACGUAAAAAUUAGUGUAUAGAUACGUUCGGGUAAGAAUCGAAUGCUUUAAAAAUUAGCAGUCCAUCUUUUAAAUCAUCUUGCAGGAAUUAUACGACGAGAUGCAGAUCGUUGCAGAUACGCGCGCGCGCAUUAUUGUCAUAGUAGAGAGAGAGCGAGAGAGAGAAAGGGAGAGGCGAGGGGAAACGCGACACUCAAAUCUGGUCUCUCAAAAAUGAUUAAAAACUUCAUCAAUAAAUUAAAUCUAUAAAAUCUCCAAACACACACAUUUCUGAAAUUAUCAUCGCUGACAUUGAAAAUGAUUAAUAUUCUAUCUACUAAUAAAAUUUGGUAAUGAAUAUUUUUCGGAAGUAAUGUAAUCACAGGACACUCUCAUUGUAGUUAUCCAGGUCUUGUUCGCUACAAUUGUUCUUGGUCAUUUCUAUACCGUGAUUUAAAGGGGAGCCAAACACUGAUCGAUAAAAGGAUUCUUCGUAAAAGAUGUUUGACUCAUCCGGGAAUCGAACUUUGCACCCUGCUUCAGAACAUUCGAAUGCUGGUUACUGGUCGAAGAAACAUCGUCACGCGAGUAAAAUUGUGUGAAAAAUAUCAUAAAAAGUAUUUAAUCCGUGAUUAUUAACAAAGUUCACGAAAUCUAAUUUUCAGUUAACUUUUCGCCAGUUAAACACGUUUCGUUAGCAUAUUAAUAGCGUAUUGUACUUUAUUGUUUGAUAAAAACGCACAGUACGGUGCGCCAUGCGUGUAAGCUUGAUAAAAGGAACAAAUAGAAAUAGAAGAAGAAUUACCAGUUCUGCCUGGCGUAAUCAGCACGUCCACAUUUUCACAGCUCAUAACAGAUCGAUUGAAACUGAACGGUUGGAAAAUCGAUCAUAGAACGUUCCGAAAAGAGAACGCAGGAAAAGAGAAAGAGACAGAGAAUGAAAUCCAGAGUUAUUUACGCGGCUCAUUAACUUACCAACGCGAAUGACAACGACGUACUGAGUUCAAUGAAAAUUCUCAAAUCGAGUUACACGCGAGCAAACAACACGAAAAUAUGGCGAGAAUAGCAACGACGAUAAGAAGGCUGCAGGGGUCAUUCGCGUGACGAUGAUAGAUUAGAAGGAAAAGUACACAGAGAAAUUUGAUAUAAUCAAGAAUCAAUUAAACCAAAAUAUCCUUUACAGUCUCAUGAAUGAAAGAGAAAAUAUAAAUUUUCUGGAAAAAUGGAUUUUUAUUUUAUGAGAGAGGAUGAUGAUAUAAAUUUAAUACAACCGAUGACAGACCAUAUGCGUCUUAGAAAGAAACUUGCCAAAAUAUGUUGGAAAGAAAUCGGCCAAUUAAAAAGAUAACCUUGUAUAUAAAAAUGAAAUAAUGGAAACAAUAAAAAAGAAAAUAAAUAACUGGAAAGUAACAUUUACGGAUUUAAAGCAAAGAAGAUAAAUGAAUAAAGAUUAAUAUGGAAUUGAAGUAUAAAAUAAUCUCGAAUAUCUCUAUAAUAAAACUCGAAUUUGAAAUAAGAUGGAUUCUUAAUCCACGGAACCAAAUAACUCGGGACAGAUAAAAAGCGAUAGAAAAGCUUUUUAAUCUUGAAAUAUAUUACCACCUUGCUAAUGAUUAAAAACACAAGUCUUUAUGACAGAAUAGGAAAUAUACUGUUAUCAGUAAGAUGUUUUGACAGUCGUUAUCUAUGUAAGUCUCGGCAGCAUGGAUGAAGGAAGUGUAUAGAAAAAUAUCACACGCGAUUUUCUUGAGUAAUUCUGAUCAAACGAGCAUCAAAACAUAAACUGUAAUCGUUCAAAUGUGAAAAACUAUGGUACAACGGCGAAAAUGCAGAAGUUUACUUUUUCAAAACCAUAAAAUCACUCACAAUCAUGAUGGAAAUAUAUAAAGUUAAACCAGUUAUUUUCGCGUAAUAUGAUCGAGCCGCCUCUGAUAAUGCGUAGGCUGUUGGUACGGCCUUGGCGAUCUUGUGAAUACCGUAAAAUUUUGUGCCUUAGAGUCGGGUGGCUCGUCUGAGAUAAUAAUAAGUGGACUGCAGAUGUUCGUGCAAAUUCAUAUUUCUAUGAAUACAUAUAAUUAAAAAGAAUAAAAACUAAAUACACAUUCAUUUCAUCAGUUACAUAUUGUAAUUAUCUUGAAUAUUUUAUAUAUUUUUAUAUAUCAUGUGCAUUUUUACACCUUUAUGUUUCCCAUAAAUAAAUAAAUUUUCUCAGUAUAAUAAAGCACUUCAUUUAUUAUAAAAUAUUAACGAUUAUGCGAUAGUGAAUUCGACAUAUGUUUCAUGGGCAUAUUGCGUAUGCAUUUAAUGAUACACUGCCCAAAAUAAUUGAACAAUAAUUUAGUCUAUUGAAAAUAAUUAAAUUUCUUAUAAC
Molecule: long non-coding RNA, 2366 nt
Organism: Bombus impatiens (common eastern bumble bee)
Lineage: Eukaryota; Metazoa; Arthropoda; Insecta; Hymenoptera; Apidae
Exons: 3
Source: RefSeq, a predicted model, not a curated record